UAGGUCGGGUGUGUAAGUGUAGCGAUACAUUGAGCUAACCGAUACUAAUGAACCGUGAGGCUUAACCUUACAACGCCGAAG
This 81-nucleotide ribosomal RNA is filed under the name Citrobacter portucalensis. RNAcentral describes it as "partial 23S ribosomal RNA". The record is from RNAcentral. Lineage: Bacteria; Pseudomonadati; Pseudomonadota; Gammaproteobacteria; Enterobacterales; Enterobacteriaceae. RNAcentral also lists the same sequence under 1 other name.